This 336-nucleotide ribosomal RNA is filed under the name uncultured bacterium. Its description in RNAcentral is "partial 16S ribosomal RNA". It matches the Rfam family "Bacterial small subunit ribosomal RNA", at positions 338 to 666 of the family's 1533-position model. The record is from RNAcentral.
CCUACGGGAGUCAGCAGUAGGGAAUCUUCCACAAUGGGCGAAAGCCUGAUGGAGCAACGCCGCGUGGGUGAAGAAGGUCUUCGGAUCGUAAAACCCUGUUGUUAGAGAAGAAAAUGCGUGAGAGUAACUGUUCACGUUUCGACGGUAUCUAUCCAGAAAGCCACGGCUAAUUACGUGCAAGCCGCUGAGGGAAUACGGAGGAGGGAAGUGUUAACCGGAUUGGUUGGGUGGAAAGGGAUCGCAGGUGGUCUGUUAAGUCUGAUGUGAAAGUGUUCGGCUUAACCGGAGUAGUGCAUAGGAAACUGGGAGACUUGAGUACAGAAGAGGAGAGAGGAA